UAGGGAAUCUUCCACAAUGGACGCAAGUCUGAUGGAGCAACGCCGCGUGAGUGAAGAAGGUCUUCGGAUCGUAAAGCUCUGUUGUUGGUGAAGAAGGAUAGAGGCAGUAACUGGUCUUUAUUUGACGGUAAUCAACCAGAGAGUCACGGCUAACUACGUGCCAGCAGCCGCGGUAAUACGUAGGUGGCAAGCGUUGUCCGGAUUUAUUGGGCGUAAAGCGAGCGCAGGCGGAAUGAUAAGUCUGAUGUGAAAGCCCACGGCUCAACCGUGGAACUGCAUCGGAAACUGUCAUUCUUGAGUGCAGAAGAGGAGAGUGGAACUCCAUGUGUAGCGGUGGAAUGCGUAGAUAUAUGGAAGAACACCAGUGGCGAAGGCGGCUCUCUGGUCUGCAACUGACGCUGAGGCUCGAAAGCAUGGGUAGCGAACAGGAUUAGAUACCCUUGGUAGUCCAUGCCGUAACGAUGAGCGCUAGGUGUU
This 477-nucleotide ribosomal RNA is filed under the name uncultured bacterium. RNAcentral's name for it is "partial 16S ribosomal RNA". It matches the Rfam family "Bacterial small subunit ribosomal RNA", at positions 355 to 824 of the family's 1533-position model. The record is from RNAcentral.